AACGAACGCUGGCGGCAUGCCUAACACAUGCAAGUCGAACGAGACCUUCGGGUCUAGUGGCGCACGGGUGCGUAACGCGUGGGAACCUGCCUUUAGGUUCGGAAUAACUCAGAGAAAUUUGAGCUAAUACCGGAUGAUGUCUUCGGACCAAAGAUUUAUCGCCUUUAGAUGGGCCCGCGUUGGAUUAGCUAGUUGGUGGGGUAAAGGCCUACCAGGGCGACGAUCCAUAGCUGGUCUGAGAGGAUGAUCAGCCACACUGGGACUGAGACACGGCCCAGACUCCUACGGGAGGCAGCAGUGGGGAAUAUUGGACAAUGGGCGAAAGCCUGAUCCAGCAAUGCCGCGUGAGUGAUGAAGGCCUUAGGGUUGUAAAGCUCUUUUACCCGAGAUGAUAAUGACAGUAUCGGGAGAAUAAGCUCCGGCUAACUCCGUG
This 433-nucleotide ribosomal RNA is filed under the name uncultured bacterium. RNAcentral's name for it is "partial 16S ribosomal RNA". It matches the Rfam family "Bacterial small subunit ribosomal RNA", at positions 29 to 507 of the family's 1533-position model. The record is from RNAcentral.